UACGGGGGGGGCAAGCGUUGUUCGGAAUUACUGGGCGUAAAGGGCGCGUAGGCGGGUGUUUAAGUCAGAGGUCAAAUCCCAGAGCUCAACUCUGGAACUGCCUUUGAUACUGGACACCUAGAGUACGGGAGAGGUGUGUGGAACUCCGAGUGUAGAGGUGAAAUUCGUAGAUAUUCGGAAGAACACCAGUGGCGAAGGCGACACACUGGCCCGUUACUGACGCCUGAGGCGCGAAAGCGUGGGGGAGCAAACAGG
This 255-nucleotide ribosomal RNA is filed under the name uncultured bacterium. RNAcentral describes it as "partial 16S ribosomal RNA". It matches the Rfam family "Bacterial small subunit ribosomal RNA", at positions 524 to 776 of the family's 1533-position model. The record is from RNAcentral.